This 28-nucleotide non-coding RNA is filed under the name Rattus norvegicus (Norway rat). Lineage: Eukaryota; Metazoa; Chordata; Mammalia; Rodentia; Muridae. The record is from RNAcentral.
UGACAGGAAGGCCCAGAACAGGACAAGA